CAGUAGCCGCGGUAAUACGUAGGGUGCGAGCGUUAAUCGGAAUUACUGGGCGUAAAGCGUGCGCAGGCGGUUCGUUAAGACAGAUGUGAAAUCCCCGGGCUUAACCUGGGAACUGCAUUUGUGACUGGCGAGCUAGAGUAUGGCAGAGGGGGGUAGAAUUCCACGUGUAGCAGUGAAAUGCGUAGAUAUGCGGAGGAACACCGAUGGCGAAGGCAGCCCCCUGGGCCAAUACUGACGCUCAUGCACGAAAGCGUGGGGAGCAAACAGGAUUAGAUACCCCAGUAGUCCCUGUCUCUUAUAC
RNAcentral lists this ribosomal RNA (301 nucleotides) under uncultured bacterium. Its description in RNAcentral is "partial 16S ribosomal RNA". It matches the Rfam family "Bacterial small subunit ribosomal RNA", at positions 509 to 807 of the family's 1533-position model. The record is from RNAcentral.